UAAGGACCCCAGUUUGGAACCUUA
This 24-nucleotide non-coding RNA is filed under the name Rattus norvegicus (Norway rat). Lineage: Eukaryota; Metazoa; Chordata; Mammalia; Rodentia; Muridae. The record is from RNAcentral.